GAUAAUUGAGAGAGGAGAGAGAGAGAUAUCGCAGCCACGAUUUGGAGGAAAAAGGGAAAUUAGUUUGGGCUAUUUCUUGGGCCGAUUUUAUUACGAGGCUAAGCAGCUGGACCAGAGUUAAUCGGAGUAGGCUGAUUCCUUUUCUGAAUGAGAGCCCAGGCAUAUUUUAAGAAGAAUGAAUUGCGAUGGUUUUUUUUAUUUGGUCCAAUUUCUUUUAUUGGGUUGCCUUAUAUUGCUCCCAAUUAAUCAUUAGGCUGCCUUAUUAUUUAGCCCAAUUAAAGACUAGUCUAGAUUAAUCUAUUAAUUGGAUUUAGCUAGUUCUAAUUACGGAUUAAUUUAGAAUGAUGAUUAUUAAUUAGUAAGUGGGUUAGCAUACCCAAAGAUGAGUGAAUUAAUUAAGAUUAUUA
Molecule: long non-coding RNA, 407 nt
Filed under: Salvia miltiorrhiza (redroot sage)
Lineage: Eukaryota; Viridiplantae; Streptophyta; Magnoliopsida; Lamiales; Lamiaceae
Description: long non-coding RNA (SMIL_LNC011423)
Source: RNAcentral